Coccidioides immitis RS is the source of this 83-nucleotide non-coding RNA. NCBI's taxonomy places the organism in Eukaryota, Fungi, Ascomycota, Eurotiomycetes, Onygenales, Onygenaceae. The record is from the annotation of a RefSeq genome assembly.
GCAUGGGUGGCUCAAUGGCAACAGCACCACCUGGCUCAGACUGCCCUCUCCCAGGGGCGGGGGUUCAAGUCCCUCUACAGGCG